Molecule: ribosomal RNA, 530 nt
Filed under: uncultured bacterium
Lineage: Bacteria
Description: bacterial SSU rRNA
Rfam family: Bacterial small subunit ribosomal RNA
Source: RNAcentral
AGUCAAUAGAUACCCUGGUAGUCCACGCUGUAAACGAUGCGCACUAGGUGUCGGGGGUAUCGACCCCUCGGUGCCGCAGCUAACGCGAUAAGUGCGCCGCCUGGGGACGUACGGCCGCAAGGCUAAAACUACAAAGGAAUUGACGGGGGCCCGGCACAAGCAGCGGAGCGUGUGGUUUAAUUCGACGCAGCGCGAAGAACCUUACCUGGGCUUGACAUGCGUGUGGUACGGAGCCGAAAGGCCGAGGACCCGCAAGGGAGCACGCACAGAUGCUGCAUGGCUGUCGUCAGCUCGUGCCGUGAGGUGUUGGGUUAAGUCCCGCAACGAGCGCAACCCUCGCUGCCAGUUACCAUGUCUGGCGGGACCGCCGGGUCCAACCCGGAGGAAGGUGGGGAUGACGUCAAGUCAGCACGGCUCUUACGUCCAGGGGCUACACACACGCUACAAUGGCCGGUACAACGCGCAGCGAUGGGGGCGACCCGGAGCGAAUCGCAGCAAAGCCGGUCUCAGUUGGGAUUGCAGGCUGCAAC